GGCUGGUCCAAGGGCAGUGGUGUUUACAACUAAUUGAUCGCAACCACUUACAGAUAUUUUUGUUCCUUCUCCACUCCCACUGUUUCACCUAACUAGCCUCAA
This 102-nucleotide Y RNA is filed under the name Propithecus coquereli (Coquerel's sifaka). RNAcentral's name for it is "Y RNA (ENSPCOG00000002112.1)". It matches the Rfam family "Y RNA". From Rfam's summary of the family: Y RNAs are components of the Ro ribonucleoprotein particle (Ro RNP), in association with Ro60 and La proteins. The Y RNAs and Ro60 and La proteins are well conserved, but the function of the Ro RNP is not known. The record is from Rfam by way of RNAcentral. Lineage: Eukaryota; Metazoa; Chordata; Mammalia; Primates; Indriidae.